AGAGGCAGAAGUAAACCAGCAUACCCCCUGCUGAUGCUGGUGAAACUACAAGAGAUUACGCAGGCUCAGGCUUUAGUCUUACAUACAGACAUGGUCCUCACCCAAGAGGGGAUAUGAAAUGACCCAUAACUGAGAUUCAUAUGGAAUAUACGGAAGCUAUACUCCUACAUGAUGAGAAUUUGCUGGUAACUACCCUGUUCUCCCUCCCUGCCUCUGAAGAGGUGGAGUCAUCUGUCAUCCUUCACGUAUCAAAGCACAGCCACCAACUGUGAGAGUAGGCCUGAGGCUUCUUCCAGAAGAACAAAGGCUUCAGCAGCCAACUCAGCCACAGCAUCACCUGCAUAGAUCCCUGUGCCAGCCAGAGCACCCCAUGAGAGAAGACAUGCCUGCCUAAAAACAAUGCUGACACUAGGGCUCCAGACAGAAGCUGUGUGGAAUUAUCCAUCUCCUUGUAACAGGGAUGUGAGUUUCUGUG
Columba livia (rock pigeon) is the source of this 475-nucleotide long non-coding RNA. RefSeq lists it as uncharacterized. The record is from RefSeq and is a predicted model, not a curated record. The transcript is spliced from 3 exons. NCBI's taxonomy places the organism in Eukaryota, Metazoa, Chordata, Aves, Columbiformes, Columbidae.